RNAcentral lists this ribosomal RNA (253 nucleotides) under uncultured prokaryote. Its description in RNAcentral is "partial 16S ribosomal RNA". It matches the Rfam family "Bacterial small subunit ribosomal RNA", at positions 525 to 777 of the family's 1533-position model. The record is from RNAcentral.
ACAGAGGGUACAAGCGUUGUUCGGAAUUACUGGGCGUAAAGCGUGCGCAGGCGGUUCGUUGUGUCGGCGGUGAAAGCCCCGGGCUUAACCUGGGAAUGGCAGUGGAAACUGGCGGGCUUGAGUGUGGCAGAGGGGGGUGGAAUUCCGCGUGUAGCAGUGAAAUGCGUAGAGAUGCGGAGGAACACCGAUGGCGAAGGCAGCCCCCUGGGCUGACACUGACGCUGAGGCACGAAAGCGUGGGGAGCAAACAGGA